GUGGGGAAUAUUGGACAAUGGGCGCAAGCCUGAUCCAGCCAUGCCGCGUGUGUGAAGAAGGUCUUCGGAUUGUAAAGCACUUUAAGUUGGGAGGAAGGGCAGUAAGUUAAUACCUUGCUGUUUUGACGUUACCAACAGAAUAAGCACCGGCUAACUUCGUGACAGCAGCCGCGGUAAUACGAAGGGUGCAAGCGUUAAUCGGAAUUACUGGGCGUAAAGCGCGCGUAGGUGGUUUUGUAAGUUGGAGGUGAAAUCCCCGGGCUCAACCUGGGAACUGCCUCCAAAACUGCAUGACUAGAGUACGGUAGAGGGUAGUGGAAUUUCCUGUGUAGCGGUGAAAUGCGUAGAUAUAGGAAGGAACACCAGUGGCGAAGGCGACUACCUGGACUGAUACUGACACUGAGGUGCGAAAGCGUGGGGAGCAAACAGGAUUAGAAACCCUAGUAGUCC
This 450-nucleotide ribosomal RNA is filed under the name uncultured bacterium. RNAcentral's name for it is "partial 16S ribosomal RNA". It matches the Rfam family "Bacterial small subunit ribosomal RNA", at positions 354 to 796 of the family's 1533-position model. The record is from RNAcentral.